This 335-nucleotide ribosomal RNA is filed under the name uncultured Micrococcus sp. RNAcentral's name for it is "bacterial SSU rRNA". It matches the Rfam family "Bacterial small subunit ribosomal RNA", at positions 446 to 781 of the family's 1533-position model. The record is from RNAcentral. Lineage: Bacteria; Bacillati; Actinomycetota; Actinomycetes; Micrococcales; Micrococcaceae.
AGAAAGUUGUGAAAGCAACCUGACGGUACCAGAGGAAUCAGCAUCGGCUAACUCCGUGCCAGCAGCCGCGGUAAGACGGAGGAUGCAAGCGUUAUCCGGAAUGAUUGGGCGUAAAGCGUCCGCAGGUGGCAGUUCAAGUCUGCUGUCAAAGACCGGGGCUUAACCCGGACGUCUGCGGUGGGUACGGGCGAGACUAGAGUGCAGUAGGGGAGGACUGGAAUUCCUGGUGUAGCGGUGGAAUGCGCAGAUAUCAGGAGGAACACCGAUGGCGAAGGCAGGUCUCUGGGCUGUAACUGACGCUGAGGAGCGAAAGCAUGGGGAGCGAACAGGAUUAG